UAAGGGCAGGAAGUAGGUAAGCAGACUUGGGAGUUGGGCUUUAACCUCCUUCUCCUUUACCGAAAAGGGAAAACUAUGCUAUACCAGCGAGUGGGGAACAAGAGUCAGAGAUAAGGUGAACAGAUCUCAGAGCAGGCUACGAGAGUAUAUUUAAUAUGUCUGGGCCUCUUCGGAAGGCAGUUCAAAGGGGAGCUAUCAAGGCUCAAGGAAAAGUCUCACCUCCGUCUAGUGCGACUAUUAGGGAAGUAGACGAACGAUCAGGCUUCCAUCUACCACUCUAAGGGUUGGAAGGUAUAUAAAAGGAC
This 305-nucleotide long non-coding RNA is filed under the name Trifolium pratense (red clover). RNAcentral's name for it is "long non-coding RNA (TPRA_LNC012848)". The record is from RNAcentral. Lineage: Eukaryota; Viridiplantae; Streptophyta; Magnoliopsida; Fabales; Fabaceae.